This 284-nucleotide long non-coding RNA is filed under the name Pan troglodytes (chimpanzee). Its description in RNAcentral is "long non-coding RNA NONPTRT003386". The record is from RNAcentral. Lineage: Eukaryota; Metazoa; Chordata; Mammalia; Primates; Hominidae.
UCUUUUUGCAACAAAGUAAAAAAAAUCAGAGAAAGAUAUCAUGCAGCUGAUGUUAAUUUCAAUUCUGGGAAGAUCUGGAGCACUACUACAGCAUUUCCGUAUCAGCUCUUUUCUAAGACCAAGUUUAAUAUACAUAUUUUUAUUGAUAACUCAACACAACCUCUUCAUUUUAUGCCAUGUGCUAAUGAUCUUGUCAAAGAUCUAAUUGCAGAAAUUCUGCAUUUUUGCACAAAUGACCAGCUACUCCCCAAAGAUCAUAUUCUAAGUGUAUGUGGCUCUGAAGA